AGGGCGCAAGCGUUGUCCGGAAUUAUUGGGCGUAAAGAGCUUGUAGGUGGCUUGUCGCGUCUGCCGUGAAAACCCGAGGCUCAACCCCGGGCGUGCGGUGGGUACGGGCAGGCUAGAGUGUGGUAGGGGAGACUGGAACUCCUGGUGUAGCGGUGAAAUGCGCAGAUAUCAGGAAGAACACCGAUGGCGAAGGCAGGUCUCUGGGCCAUUACUGACACUGAGAAGCGAAAGCAUGGGUAGCGA
This 243-nucleotide ribosomal RNA is filed under the name uncultured bacterium. Its description in RNAcentral is "partial 16S ribosomal RNA". It matches the Rfam family "Bacterial small subunit ribosomal RNA", at positions 529 to 771 of the family's 1533-position model. The record is from RNAcentral.